Hylaeus volcanicus is the source of this 818-nucleotide long non-coding RNA. RefSeq lists it as uncharacterized. The transcript is spliced from 3 exons. The record is from RefSeq and is a predicted model, not a curated record. Lineage: Eukaryota; Metazoa; Arthropoda; Insecta; Hymenoptera; Colletidae.
GUUUGAAGAUCGUGCGCCAACCGACUAGCAAGCGACUAUAUGAUACCAGCGACUGAAGCGGACCCAGUGUACGGAUCACGAAUCGGUUAUACGGAAGAAACGCAACGAUCAUAGAUUGGUGGAUUGCCAGAUCACCUAUCUACAGCUUGUGGAAAUGAAGGGGGCCUACAGAAUUGGAGAUUAACAAAUUGCUGCCAGUAAAGUAAAAUGUAGAUCAAUUUUGAUUACAAGAUCCAUACCACCAAAGUGUUUUGAAUUUAGACUUUUUAUGCAGAGCUUGUACAAAUGAAGGGAACCACAGGCUUGGAAGUUAUUCAUUAACAAAUUGCAGCAACUGUUGUUAAAUGUUUAUCCAUUUUCAUUACAAGGUAAGUAGUCAAAAUCUGAAUUGUCAGGUACCUUCAAUCAUACAGAAUAGAUCCAUACCACUAAAGUGUUUUUCAUUUAAACUUUUUGUGUAAAACUUAUAGAAAUGGAGUUAUUUUCUCAUUUCAUCAUUAACAUUAAAAUUUCUUACAGCAAGAAAAAAAUUGCAGAUAUUUAUAAUUAUUUAUAAAUUGAACGAAUAAAUGUUUAUAAUUAAUAAAUUAUAUGAAGUAUAUAUAUUCGCUUCUGUUAUCCCCGCUCCUUUUAUUUUACUCUAUUCAAUUAAUAAAAAAAAUAAUAAUUUAGACUUCUUAUGUAGAGUUUACCGAAAUAUCAAUUUUAUUAUUAUAAAUUUAAAAUAGAUUCUAUAUAAUAAAUUAUUUGUAAAAAGAAGUGAGAUCCGAUAAAAAAAUUCAAAAAAGUAAAAAAAUUACGUCGAGUACAUGAAAAAA